This 403-nucleotide ribosomal RNA is filed under the name uncultured Eubacteriales bacterium. RNAcentral describes it as "uncultured Clostridiales bacterium partial 16S ribosomal RNA". It matches the Rfam family "Bacterial small subunit ribosomal RNA", at positions 355 to 774 of the family's 1533-position model. Lineage: Bacteria; Bacillati; Bacillota; Clostridia; Eubacteriales. The record is from RNAcentral.
UGGGGAAUAUUGCGCAAUGGGGGAAACCCUGACGCAGCAACGCCGCGUGAAGGAAGAAGGCCUUCGGGUUGUAAACUUCUAUCGACAGGGACGAAUAAUGACGGUACCUGAGUAAGAAGCACCGGCUAACUACGUGCCAGCAGCCGCGGUAAUACGUAGGGUGCAAGCGUUAUCCGGAAUUACUGGGUGUAAAGGGUGAGUAGGCGGCUUUGCAAGUCAUAUGUGAAAAUCUUAGGCUUAACCUAAGACCUGCAUAAGAAACUGCAAGGCUAGAGUGCAGGAGAGGUAAGCGGAAUUCCUAGUGUAGCGGUGAAAUGCGUAGAUAUUAGGAAGAACACCAGUGGCGAAGGCGGCUUACUGGACUGUAACUGACGCUGAGUCACGAAAGCGUGGGGAGCGAACA